AUUGAACGCUGGCGGCAGGCUUAACACAUGCAAGUCGAGCGCGCCGCGGACUUGUGAGUAAUGUCUGGGAAACUGCCUGAUGGAGGGGGAUAACUCCUGGAAACGGUAGCUAAUCCCGCAUACCAUCCGUUGGGCCCAGAUGGGAUUAGCUAGUAGGUGGGGUAAUGGCGCACCUUGGCGACGAUCCCUAGCUGGUCUGAGAGGAUGACCAGCCACACGGGAACUGAGACACGGUCCAGACUCCUACGGGAGGCAGCAGUGGGGAAUAUUGCACAAUGGGCGCAAGCCUGAUGCAGCCAUGCCGCGUGUGUGAAGAAGGCCUUCGGGUUGUAAAGCACUUUCAGCGAGGAGGCGUUACUCGAAGAAGAAGCACCGGCUAACUCCGUGCCAGCAGCCGCGGUAAUAC
Molecule: ribosomal RNA, 406 nt
Filed under: uncultured bacterium
Lineage: Bacteria
Description: partial 16S ribosomal RNA
Rfam family: Bacterial small subunit ribosomal RNA
Source: RNAcentral